AUUUGGCGGACGGGUGAGUAACGCGUGGGAACGUACCCUUUGGUUCGGAACAACAGCGGGAAACUGCUGCUAAUACCGGAUAAGCCCUUCGGGGGAAAGGUUUAUCGCCAGAGGAUCGGCCCGCGUUAGAUUAGCUUGUUGGUGAGGUAAUGGCUCACCAAGGCGACGAUCAGUAGCUGGCCUGAGAGGAUGAUCAGCCACACUGGGACUGAGACACGGCCCAGACUCCUACGGGAGGCAGCAGUGGGGAAUCUUCCGCAAUGGGCGCAAGCCUGACGGAGCAACGCCGCGUGAGUGAUGAAGGCUUUCGGGUUGUAAAACUCUGUCUUCAGGGAAGAAAAAAAUGACGGUACCUGAGGAGGAAGCCCCGGCUAACUACGUGCCAGCAGCCGCGGUAAUAAU
Molecule: ribosomal RNA, 402 nt
Filed under: uncultured bacterium
Lineage: Bacteria
Description: bacterial SSU rRNA
Rfam family: Bacterial small subunit ribosomal RNA
Source: RNAcentral